AUUGAACGCUGGCGGCAGGCCUAACACAUGCAAGUCGAGCGAUCGGCGGACGGGUGUGUAAUGUGUGUGGACUGCCCGCUUUCGGGGGGUAACUACUGGAGACGGUAGCUACUACCGCCUCCUAUCUAUUAUCCCCUAUGGGUUUAGCUAGUAGGUGGGGUAAUGGCGCACCUAGGCGACGAACCCUAGCUGGUCUGAGAGGAUGAUGAGCCACACGGGGCCUGGAAAACGGCCCAGACUCCUCCGGAGGCAGCAGUGGGGAACAUUGCACAAUGGGGGAAAGCCUGAGGCAGAAAUGCCGCGUGGAUGAAGAAGGCCUUAGGGUUGUAAACUACGUUCAGCCGGGAGGCGUUACCGACAGAAGAAGCAACGGCUAACUCCGUGCCAGCAGCCGCGGUAAUUC
Molecule: ribosomal RNA, 403 nt
Filed under: uncultured bacterium
Lineage: Bacteria
Description: partial 16S ribosomal RNA
Rfam family: Bacterial small subunit ribosomal RNA
Source: RNAcentral